CGCGCAGUCCCGGCUGACUGGCGCCUCCGUCUCGCGCCGCUUCGCGCGAUCCUCAACCAGGUAAGCUACUAUCUUACCAUGAAAUUUUAUUCAAGAUUAUGAUAGAAUUUUACAUUAGCCUAAUAAAAAUAGUAUCGAUCGGAAGUUCACGAUUAGUGUAGAAAAUUUUAUCAAAGAACUAUAUCUCUAUCGGUAAUAGUUACGUAGUUAGAGUAGUUCGAAGUUUUUUUAUUUUUCGUGACGUCACUUCGGCGAUGGUUGCUGCUCUCCCAAUCGCGUCUGAUCGCAAUGGCUUUCCCGUUUUGUCGCUAGGAUCGCUGCAUCGCCAGGACGGCUCGCGGUCAAACUGUCGCGCAUUCGGAAAGUCUUCAACUUCAGUCUUUCAGAUAAGAUUUCGGUCACGUGAUCGUCUUCUCCGUCGCAUCUCGAAUCGAAUAGCGAAAUAUUUAUUUGAAACGUCGUUGUCGUGUCGUCAUAUUUCAAAUCCAAUAGCACCACACUUA
RNAcentral lists this long non-coding RNA (503 nucleotides) under Androctonus crassicauda. The record is from RNAcentral. Lineage: Eukaryota; Metazoa; Arthropoda; Arachnida; Scorpiones; Buthidae.